RNAcentral lists this ribosomal RNA (589 nucleotides) under uncultured Paenibacillus sp. Its description in RNAcentral is "bacterial SSU rRNA". It matches the Rfam family "Bacterial small subunit ribosomal RNA", at positions 76 to 649 of the family's 1533-position model. The record is from RNAcentral. Lineage: Bacteria; Bacillati; Bacillota; Bacilli; Caryophanales; Paenibacillaceae.
GAGCUUGCUCUCCUGAUGGUUAGCGGCGGACGGGUGAGUAACACGUAGGCAACCUGCCUGCAAGACCGGGAUAACCCACGGAAACGUGAGCUAAUACCGGAUAUCUCAUUUCCUCUCCUGAGGGGAUGAUGAAAGACGGAGCAAUCUGUCACUUGCGGAUGGGCCUGCGGCGCAUUAGCUAGUUGGUGAGGUAACGGCUCACCAAGGCGACGAUGCGUAGCCGACCUGAGAGGGUGAACGGCCACACUGGGACUGAGACACGGCCCAGACUCCUACGGGAGGCAGCAGUAGGGAAUCUUCCGCAAUGGGCGAAAGCCUGACGGAGCAACGCCGCGUGAGUGAUGAAGGUUUUCGGAUCGUAAAGCUCUGUUGCCAGGGAAGAACGUCCGGUAGAGUAACUGCUAUCGGAGUGACGGUACCUGAGAAGAAAGCCCCGGCUAACUACGUGCCAGCAGCCGCGGUAAUACGUAGGGGGCAAUCGUUGUCCGGAAUUAUUGGGCGUAAAGCGCGCGCAGGCGGUCAUUUAAGUCUGGUGUUUAAGGCCAGGGCUCAACCUUGGUUCGCACUGGAGACUGGGUGACUUGAGUGC